GAUUCUCUUCCUUGAUGUACCUUAUUCUUCCGAUUUAUCUACACUGUUUACAAAUACUGCCUUCCUUUGUUCAUCUACUGUAUAUUGCCUGGUAAAGUCAGAUCAUUGCAUCCAGGGAUGUUAUUUUCAUUCUCAGGACGCUGAAGAAGUCCUCUCCUCAGCUGCAACACACUGUGUAAGGAAACUAUAGGAAUGUCACAGGCAUAAUGACUGCAUUGUGUAUUUAUUCAUUAGUUUUAAUAAGAAGCAUUCACAGUCACAUAGAAAACAGAAAUAAUAGAGAGAAACAGUGACUGGGCAUCAGGGACAAGAACUGAGCUUAUUAUACACAAGUCCUUGGAGCAGAGAGAACCAUUGUGAGACUAUUUUUUUAGUUUUUCCACAAAACACAUUUCAUCACAAAACUGUGUCUCUAAAACUGAGACUCAGAGACACAUUCUGUCCCUCCAGUACAUUAAGAGUCAGUUGGUGGCUUAUAGUGCACAGUUAUGAAGGGCAGAUAUGUGAAAGGUUUGGGCCCUUUCAGAAAUUGGAGCAAAGGAUAUGUAUUGGAGCAUAUGUAUUCAAUAGUUAAUAUCACUGCUACAAAUGCAUGCUCCCACCAGCUCAGGUCAAUGAAUGUGCUACGCCUUGUUGUUCCUUCACAACAAGUCCAAAAAAAAAAAAAAAAAAGUCAAAAAUGUCACCCGCUGUUGCUCUCUGGUGGAAUAAGCUAACCUCCACCACCUGCUGAGACCAUCACCUCUUUCAAAAAGAAGAAAAUAUUCUCUGUAUUUCUACUGUUCUCUGUCUUGAUUCCUAAUCUAGUUGUCAAAAAAUUUUUCCCAAUUAAAAUAAAAUAAAACCCUGGCACUGUAUAAUUAUGAAUAUUGUUGAGGAGUUGCUGUGUUUCUCUUUUGAAAGUCGCUUCAGAUAAAACUGUCCACUAAAUGCAUAAGUGUAAAUGCAACUGUAAUAUUAUUCUAGUGUGGACACUGACACCAUUUUCUCCCACAUAAAUGAGGUUAGAGGACAAGGUUAGAUGAGCAGAGGACUUUCCCAUGGACCCUAUCACAACAGUCUUUCCUUUCAGAUUAAAAAUUAACGUCGUCUCAGGUUGGCCCUCAAUGCCACAUAUAUCUCUCCAUGGCUCUCACAUAGGGAAAUAAUGUGUGUGUGUAUGUAAACAGUUAAAAUAUCAGAGCAUGUGAUAUUUAAUGAUCAUUUUAGUUCUUAAAAUAAAUGCACAGGUGCGAUUUACCAUGGGUUAGAAAAUUCAAUUUAA
This is a long non-coding RNA of Carassius carassius (crucian carp), 1264 nucleotides long. RefSeq lists it as uncharacterized. The transcript has 3 exons. NCBI's taxonomy places the organism in Eukaryota, Metazoa, Chordata, Actinopteri, Cypriniformes, Cyprinidae. The record is from RefSeq and is a predicted model, not a curated record.